GGCAUCCUACGGGGCGCAGCAGUGAGGAAUAUUGGUCAAUGGGAGAGAUCCUGAACCAGCCACGCCGCGUGAGGGCACACGGCCCUAUGGGUUGUAAACCUCUUUUGUCGGAGAACAAAACCCGGGACGUGUCCCGGACUGCGUGUAUCCGAAGAAAAAGCAUCGGCUAACUCCGUGCCAGCAGCCGCGGUAAUACGGAGGAUGCGAGCGUUAUCCGGAUUUAUUGGGUUUAAAGGGUGCGU
This 242-nucleotide ribosomal RNA is filed under the name uncultured bacterium. Its description in RNAcentral is "partial 16S ribosomal RNA". It matches the Rfam family "Bacterial small subunit ribosomal RNA", at positions 333 to 572 of the family's 1533-position model. The record is from RNAcentral.